GCUGCUCCUCGACACUCCAUAAGGAAAGAACUCAUUUGAGGAUCUUGCAGACCAAGAAAUCUUUUGUGGAAUUUUCUGCAAUUCCUCAUUUCACGCCAGACCCUGAUUCUAGAGGCUGCCUGCGUUCCAUGUCUUGUGGCUCCCUUCCAACUUCAAAGCCAGCAAUGAACGUCCAUGAAUAUUUCAUUGGGAUAGGCAUUUGGGAACUUGCAGAAUGUCCACAUUGGUCACCUGAGCUGGCAG
Molecule: non-coding RNA, 243 nt
Organism: Equus caballus (horse)
Lineage: Eukaryota; Metazoa; Chordata; Mammalia; Perissodactyla; Equidae
Source: RefSeq, a predicted model, not a curated record